UAGAAUGUGUAUGGUUUUGUACAUAUGUGUAUGAUAGAAUACUAAAAGUGUUAUGAAUUAGAGGGCACGAGAA
RNAcentral lists this transfer RNA (73 nucleotides) under Staphylococcus aureus. RNAcentral describes it as "tRNA-Lys-TTT". Lineage: Bacteria; Bacillati; Bacillota; Bacilli; Caryophanales; Staphylococcaceae. The record is from RNAcentral.